UUUUUUGCACCACCAGAAGCUUUCGCUAGUUGUUCGUAAUUUUUGGU
This 47-nucleotide non-coding RNA is filed under the name Plasmodium falciparum 3D7. The record is from RNAcentral. Lineage: Eukaryota; Apicomplexa; Aconoidasida; Haemosporida; Plasmodiidae.